UGUGUUUAUAAAGUCACGCCUUUACAGACUGUAAUCGCGCGCGAGUGGAGUGGGCUUCACAAGAUAGAGUGAGUGGGGGACAAUGACAACGGCCAGGCGACCGCAAGUGACAGCGAGGGCCAAGUGAU
This 128-nucleotide small RNA is filed under the name Pongo abelii (Sumatran orangutan). RNAcentral describes it as "processed transcript". The record is from RNAcentral. Lineage: Eukaryota; Metazoa; Chordata; Mammalia; Primates; Hominidae.